AUAUUGGAAACCUCUGUUCCCUAAGGAAGAUGAAAGUGAGAAGAUAAAGCUCUGAAAAACAGGUCUUUAAAGAGGUAACUAAGUUAAAAUGAGGUCAUCAGGGUGGGCUGUAAUCCAAUAUAAAUGCUAUCCUUAUAAGAAGAGGAAAUUUGGGUACAGACGGUACAGAGGGAAGACCAUAUGAAGACACAAGAGAAGACGGCAAUCUACAAGUCAAGGACAGAGGCCUCAGAAGAAACCAACCCUGUCAAUGCCUUGAUCUCAAAUUUCUAGCUUCCAGAGUUGUGAGAAAAUAAAUUCCUGUUGUUUUAAGCCACCCAGUCAGUGGUCCUUCAUUAUAGUAGCCAGCUACUUCUAAUGAUGACCAGUGACUUUUUGUUUAACUGAUUAAUUAGCUUUCUUUUUCUUUUUCAUAUCACUGUGAAUUCGUGGAUUUUAUACAAUCAGUGUGUUUCAAUUGGUUGCAGUUAUUUUUUGUUUUGAAUGUUUAAAUAUUUCCAUAUUUGGCCAGAGGAAGCCCCAGAGGAAGUUAAUUUUUGGGUCAUUUUGAUAUAACCCCGGUAGUCUUUGAUAACUCUCUUGCUUUCAGGUACAUUUUCUGUCCUAGACCUGGAAGCAACUAUCUUAAAAAUGGUACAGUAGUCCCUCCUUAUCCAUGGGGGAUACAUUCCAAGACUUGCAGUGGAUGCCGGAAACCAGAGAUAGUACCAAAUCCUAUGUAUAAGAAGUUUUUCCUACAUAUAACUGUGAUAAAGUUUAAUUUAUAGGCUUGUCCAAGUGCAGUGGUGUUUACAACUAAUUUGAUCACAACCAGUUAUAUGUUCCUUUUGUUCCUUCUUCACUCCCACUUCUUUACUUGACUAGCCUAAAAAAAGUUUAAUUCAUAAAUUAAAACAGGCAAAUAUUAGCAAAAUUAACUAAUAAUAAAACAGAACAAAUACAAAAAUAUAGUGUAAUAAAUGUUAUGUGAGUCCGGGCGUGGUGGCUCACGCCUGUAAGCCCAGCACUUUGGGAGGCCGAGGCAGGCGGAUCACAAGGUCAGGAGAUCAAGAUCAUCCUGGCUAACACAGUGAAACCCUGUCUCUACUAAAAAUAAAAAAUAAAAAAAAAUUAGCCAGGCAUGGUGGUGGGUGCCUGUAGUCCCAGCUACUCGGGAGGCUGAGGCAGGAGAAUGGCAUGAACCCGGGAGGUGGAGCUUGCAGUGAGCCGAGAUCGUGCCACUGCACUCCAGCCUGGGCGACAGAGCGAGACUCUGUCUCAGACAAAAAAAAAAAAAAAAAAAGUUAUGUGAAUAUGGUCUCUCUCAAAAUAUCUUACUGUACUGUACAAUACUUCUUGUGGUGAUGUGAGAUGAUAAAAUCCCUAUGUGAUUAAAUGAAGUGAGGUGAAUGACAUAGGCAUUGUAACUUAGUGUUAGACUACAAUUAACCUGAAAAUACAUCAAAAGAAAGAGGAUUUGCU
This 1461-nucleotide long non-coding RNA is filed under the name Homo sapiens (human). RNAcentral describes it as "HSALNT0043340". The stretch from base 767 to 870 matches the Rfam family "Y RNA". Lineage: Eukaryota; Metazoa; Chordata; Mammalia; Primates; Hominidae. The record is from RNAcentral.